GUUCUCCCCAUCAGCAGCACAUAUAAUAAAAUUGAAACAUGACAGAGAAGAUUAGCAUGGCUCCUGUGCAAGGAUGACACGCAUAUUUGUGAAGCUUUACAUCUUAAA
Suricata suricatta (meerkat) is the source of this 108-nucleotide small nuclear RNA. NCBI's taxonomy places the organism in Eukaryota, Metazoa, Chordata, Mammalia, Carnivora, Herpestidae. The record is from Ensembl.